CCUGGCCUGUCAGAUUGAAAAUACCUUCUAAAUUUACCUCUUUCCUUUCUUCUCCCUGUAUCUCGGUUCUGCUUCUCUUUCUUUUGUUACCAAUCUUCGGCGUUUCCCUCGAGAUUCCCAUAUUUCUGUUUGUUGUGUUUGUUUCAAUCUCUCCAUAGCUGGGUCCUUCCGAAAAAAAGAUGUUGGUUCUUGAUUAGAUGUAUG
Non-coding RNA from Pelobates cultripes (western spadefoot toad), 204 nucleotides. The record is from the annotation of a GenBank genome assembly. NCBI's taxonomy places the organism in Eukaryota, Metazoa, Chordata, Amphibia, Anura, Pelobatidae.